Molecule: transfer RNA, 79 nt
Filed under: Morchella angusticeps
Lineage: Eukaryota; Fungi; Ascomycota; Pezizomycetes; Pezizales; Morchellaceae
Also listed under: 19 other names
Description: tRNA-Lys
Rfam family: tRNA
About the family: Transfer RNA (tRNA) molecules are approximately 80 nucleotides in length. Their secondary structure includes four short double-helical elements and three loops (D, anti-codon, and T loops).
Source: RNAcentral
GCCUCGCUAGCUCAAUCGGUAGAGCGUGAGACUCUUAAGCGGAAUCUCAAGGUUGCGGGUUCGACCCCCGCGUGGGGCU